This 24-nucleotide transfer RNA is filed under the name Gazella dorcas (Dorcas gazelle). RNAcentral describes it as "partial tRNA-Pro". The record is from RNAcentral. Lineage: Eukaryota; Metazoa; Chordata; Mammalia; Artiodactyla; Bovidae.
GUGGGGCUAUGGCUUCUUCCUUGA